GAGUUUGAUCCUGGCUCAGGACGAACGCUGGCGGCGUGCCUAACACAUGCAAGUCGAGCGAGUGGAUUUCCUUCGGGAUUGAAGCUAGCGGCGGACGGGUGAGUAACACGUGGGCAACCUGCCUCAUAGAGGGGAAUAGCCUCCCGAAAGGGAGAUUAAUACCGCAUAAGAUUGUAGCUUCGCAUGAAGUAGCAAUUAAAGGAGCAAUCCGCUAUGAGAUGGGCCCGCGGCGCAUUAGCUAGUUGGUGAGGUAACGGCUCACCAAGGCGACGAUGCGUAGCCGACCUGAGAGGGUGAUCGGCCACAUUGGGACUGAGACACGGCCCAGACUCCUACGGGAGGCAGCAGUGGGGAAUAUUGCACAAUGGGGGAAACCCUGAUGCAGCAACGCCGCGUGAGUGAUGACGGCCUUCGGGUUGUAAAGCUCUGUCUUCAGGGACGAUAAUGACGGUACCUGAGGAGGAAGCCACGGCUAACUACGUGCCAGCAGCCGCGGUAAUUC
Molecule: ribosomal RNA, 502 nt
Filed under: uncultured bacterium
Lineage: Bacteria
Description: bacterial SSU rRNA
Rfam family: Bacterial small subunit ribosomal RNA
Source: RNAcentral